AGACAUCUGUGUUCUGGGUGGAUCCUCUCUCCUCUCUCUGAGACUGGGUGUCCGUUUGCCGCGUGGGCGGCAUCUCUGGAUGGCAGCCACCAUGCAUUUCCGCCUUGCUGACACAGCGCCUUUGGGUGCCCAUCUGGCUCCGACCUGGGGAUAGAUGGAGCCCUGACUUCCACUGCUCCUCUGACCUCUGCUCUCCGGAUGCCCGAUGCAGGCUCUGCUUACUGCGGCUUGGGACCUGGUGGGAUGAUCGUAAUGAGGUUUAAGUGGCCAGAAGGCCACCCAGCUGUUUUAAGGAGUGUGGCCCCACCAAGCAGCACUAUUGGUUUUGGAGUUGAAAAAAAAUCCGACAUCUGGUUGGCUUCAGUUUCCUUACCUGAAAAAUGGGAUAAUAAUGUACCUUCCUCACAGGUUUAUUGUGAGGAUAAAAUAGGGGGGAUAUGUUUAAAGUGCUUAGUUUUGUGCCUGGCUGCACACACUAAGCUUCACCUCGGUGUGCUAUUAUUAUUGGUGGUGGUGAUGUUACGUGGAGGUGGUGUUAUGGUGGUUGUGGUUCCUGCUGUAGUCUCAGCAUCCAGCACCACGCCCGGAGCAUUGUUGACCCUCUGUCCAUCUGCAGCCAGCAUACAGAAAGAACUUGGUGAUGACAUACCUCUUUUCAUUUCGGAAUUCCUUGCCCUUGUUCCCUCCUUUUUUUUUUUUUUUUUUAUCUUGACUGCCUCUAACUUCUUGUUUAUGUUGUGUGCCCUUGAAGCAAACUUUCUGAGACCUGGUGAAUAAAAAUCCUCGGAGGCAUGUAGAGAUGUUUUCAGUAGCAAAAGUUCACAUCCUCUCUCUUGCCUGGCCCCAGAGAACAUCUAUUCACUUGCUACACUUUACACCUACUACCCGAAAAAGCCAAUUAGAAUUGCUUACUUAAGAAAAUACCUAAGAAUCCGUAGGGCUGCCCCUGUUCAUUGUGUGCAUUGUGUGACCCUGAAGCUACACUUGAGACGUCUCCGCCUAGUGAAUGUGUCCUUCUGGGAUGCUCUGCAGCGUUUCUACUUGUAUUUAGAAAAGCUGGCUUAAAACUCUUAGGUUUAAUAUUCUGUAUCCCAAAUGCUCUUAGUUGUCAGUAAAACUAAGCCUGCCUACACACUCUUCUAUUCUUGAUUUAUAAAUAGGUUCAGCUGCCUAACAAUUAAACGUACUAUAUUUUGCACACGCAUAUUCCUUAAGGAGACAUUUGGAGGGUAGUUGGCUUUUACUCUUGCAAUGCUAUCUGGAAACCAUCUUCCUUUUAUCCCCAAGUGGGUGUAUAGUUCACUGUUGAACAACGUGGGGGUUAGGGGCCCUGACCCCUGUGCAGUCAAAAAUCUGCCUAUAACUUUUGACUCCCCCAAACUUUACUAAUAGACUGUUGUCUAGAAGUAACAUAAACAGACCAUGAACACAUAUUUUGUAUGCUAUAUGUAUUAUAUGCUGUAUUCUCACAAUAAAGGAAGCUAGAGAA
Molecule: non-coding RNA, 1489 nt
Organism: Callorhinus ursinus (northern fur seal)
Lineage: Eukaryota; Metazoa; Chordata; Mammalia; Carnivora; Otariidae
Source: RefSeq, a predicted model, not a curated record